RNAcentral lists this ribosomal RNA (251 nucleotides) under uncultured bacterium. RNAcentral's name for it is "partial 16S ribosomal RNA". It matches the Rfam family "Bacterial small subunit ribosomal RNA", at positions 524 to 776 of the family's 1533-position model. The record is from RNAcentral.
UACGUAGGGGGCAAGCGUUGUCCGGAAUCAUUGGGCGUAAAGCGCGUGUAGGCGGCCCAGUAAGUCCGCUCUGAAAGCCCGAGGCUCAACCUCGGGAGGCGGGUGGAUACUGCUGGGCUCGAGUACGGAAGAGGCGAGUGGAAUUCCCGGUGUAGCGGUGAAAUGCGCAGAUAUCGGGAGGAACACCAAUGGCGAAGGCAGCUCGCUGGGACGUUACUGACGCUGAGACGCGAAAGCGUGGGAGCAACAGG